This 497-nucleotide ribosomal RNA is filed under the name uncultured bacterium. RNAcentral describes it as "partial 16S ribosomal RNA". It matches the Rfam family "Bacterial small subunit ribosomal RNA", at positions 28 to 507 of the family's 1533-position model. The record is from RNAcentral.
GAUGAACGCUGGCGGCGUGCCUAAUACAUGCAAGUCGAGCGAACAGACGAGGAGCUUGCUCCUCUGACGUUAGCGGCGGACGGGUGAGUAAAACGUGGAUAACCUACCUAUAAAACUGGGAUAACUUCGGGAAAACGGAGCUAAUACCGGAUAAUAUAUUGAACAGCAUGGUUCAAUAGUUAAAGACGGUUUUGCUGUCACUUAUAGAUGGAUCCGCGCCGCAUUAGCUAGUUGGUAAGGUAACGGCUUACCAAGGCAACGAUGCGUAGCCGACCUGAGAGGGUGAUCGGCCACACUGGAACUGAGACACGGUCCAGACUCCGACGGGAGGCAGCAGUAGGGAAUCUUACGCAAUGGGCGAAAGCCUGACGGAGCAACGCCGCGUGAGUGAUGAAGGUCUUCGGAUCGUAAAACUCUGUUAUUAGGGAAGAACAAAUGUGUAAGUAACUAUGCACGUCUUGACGGUACCUAAUCAGAAAGCCACGGCUAACUACGUG